RNAcentral lists this ribosomal RNA (398 nucleotides) under uncultured bacterium. RNAcentral describes it as "bacterial SSU rRNA". It matches the Rfam family "Bacterial small subunit ribosomal RNA", at positions 361 to 776 of the family's 1533-position model. The record is from RNAcentral.
AUAUUGGACAAUGGGCGCAAGCCUGAUCCAGCCAUGCCGCGUGAGUGAUGAAGGUCUUAGGAUUGUAAAGCUCUUUCGGCGGGGAAGAUAAUGACGGUACCCGCAGAAGAAGCCCCGGCUAACUUCGUGCCAGCAGCCGCGGUAAUACGAAGGGGGCUAGCGUUGCUCGGAAUCACUGGGCGUAAAGCGCACGUAGGCGGCUUCUUAAGUCAGGGGUGAAAUCCUGGAGCUCAACUCCAGAACUGCCUUUGAUACUGAGAGGCUCGAGUCCGGGAGAGGUGAGUGGAACUCCGAGUGUAGAGGUGAAAUUCGUAGAUAUUCGGAAGAACACCAGUGGCGAAGGCGGCUCACUGGCCCGGUACUGACGCUGAGGUGCGAAAGCGUGGGGAGCAAACAGG